UACAGAGGUCUCAAGCGUUGUUCGGAUUCAUUGGGCGUAAAGGGUGCGUAGGCGGCGCGGUAAGUCGGGUGUGAAAUUUCGGAGCUUAACUCCGAAACUGCAUUCGAUACUGCCGUGCUUGAGGACUGGAGAGGAGACUGGAAUUUACGGUGUAGCGGUGAAAUGCGUAGAUAUCGUAAGGAAGACCAGUGGCGAAGGCGGGUCUCUGGACAGCAACUGACGCUGAGGCACGAAGGCCAGGGGAGCAAACGGG
RNAcentral lists this ribosomal RNA (253 nucleotides) under uncultured bacterium. RNAcentral's name for it is "partial 16S ribosomal RNA". It matches the Rfam family "Bacterial small subunit ribosomal RNA", at positions 524 to 776 of the family's 1533-position model. The record is from RNAcentral.